Molecule: non-coding RNA, 147 nt
Filed under: marine sediment metagenome
Source: RNAcentral
GGGGAUUAAACUUAAGAGGGAAGUCGGGUGAAAAUCCCGCGCGGUCCCGCCACUGUGAUGGGAAGCCGCCUUAAUAAUACGCCACUGGGAAACCGGGAAGGCAUAAGGCGGCGAUGAACCUAAGCCAGGAGACCUGCCUAUACCUGA